GGCGCAUUUUCUCUUCUCCAACCACGGCCAAUUUUGCCCCCUCCAUGAGCCGCCGUCUUCUACGUCACAAUCCGACCACCACCUAGACCACCAGAUCCCAACAUCACUUGAACCCAUUUUCGCACAAGCCACAAAUUGCACCGUAGGCCUUCGCAACGGCGAACAUUUGGAUUCUGCACUUUAGAAAUUCAGAUUGUUGAAUUGUUGUUUGUGGUAAAUUGGGGCCAUGGUUUGGGUCAGUUUAUGGUGGGCAAUCGACCGGUGGUGGUGUGUGACCUUGGGUGUCGCCGGAGAUGGAGAUUCCGACAGAGGCAGUUUGCGUGUUUCGACAGUUUUUGAGGAUGACUUUUGAUUGAUUUUUGUAUAUGUUUGGGUUGUUGUUUGUGUGGUAAUUGAAGAAGAGAUUGAGGGCUUUGCAAUGGUACGUAAAUUCGGUGGUUUUGGAGGUGGUUGGCUGGAGUUUAGAGGGAUGGAAAGUGGCAGUUUUGGAGGUUUUGGGGAAAUGUUUUGGCAGAAGAAAGUUGGGGAAAUGGUUUGGCAGAGUUUGGCUUCAAAACUGCAUUUCCCAUGUUUUGGAUUUUUGGCGCGUUUUCUAAAACAACAUUUUUGCCAUUUACUGUUUACUUCACAUAUUUUUUUUUUUUGUUUUCGAUCGUUUUCGAAAACGGGAAAGAGAACGCAUUUUCACCGUUUUGAAAAAUCGAAAACGGUCGAAAACGGGCAAAGAGAACAGCCCCUAAUUUUAUGGAAAAUGCCAUUUAGGGGGAUUUGGAUCGUACAAGUAAUGAUACGUCUAAAUUUCACCAAAUUCCUACGAGUAUUUACAUUUGAGUGCUGCAGUAUGCAAAGAUUGGAAAUCCAUGCCAUGGUUCCUAAGGCCUCAGGAUGACCUUUGCAAGCUAUGUUUGUUUGGGAGAUAUUAUUUAAAUUUUGAAGUGAAAAAUGAUUUAUUAUUUAUUAUUUUUUUGUUUGGAGAAUGAGGGAUUAGAAAGUAGGAAAAACUAUGGGUUUACAUGAGAGAUUAUUUUAUUGGUUGUG
RNAcentral lists this long non-coding RNA (1038 nucleotides) under Olea europaea subsp. europaea. The record is from RNAcentral. Lineage: Eukaryota; Viridiplantae; Streptophyta; Magnoliopsida; Lamiales; Oleaceae.